This 484-nucleotide long non-coding RNA is filed under the name Pogona vitticeps (central bearded dragon). RNAcentral describes it as "lncRNA (ENSPVIG00000003641.1)". The record is from RNAcentral. Lineage: Eukaryota; Metazoa; Chordata; Lepidosauria; Squamata; Agamidae.
UCUCUCUCUCUCUCUCCUUUUUCUGCAGUGCUCAGCCAAGUCAGUGAUCCUGGCUUUGGACUUGAGGUCUUUAUAUGCUGGACUUCCAAUGGCAUGUGCACACAUACUAGAUGCCCUCGCUUUUCUUCCAAGAGUGGACAAUGUGGGCAAUUUGCUAUUUGCUGUACAAGUGCCAUUAAGAAUAUGUGGACUUGCUUGCUUGCUGAAGGCUACUGCUCGGUUGGGCAUUGUUCUCCCAGUUUAUAUGAAUACGGAACCUGCAGCAGAGGCACAUCGUGCUGUAUGAAGUCCCUGCCUCACGAGUAGGCAAAUGUUCUUGGGAGCCCAUGGAGUAUCUGGAGCUCCAGCUAUUUCUUCAUUUACAACAUCCUGUCCAAUAGAAAUGUGAAACCAUUCACCUGGAUUUCAAACAACGUGAAAGGAUUCCUCGUACUCCAGUGUCUGCUGCUUUCCACUGAAAUAAACACAGCAUUAGUGAGCUAUG